RNAcentral lists this ribosomal RNA (492 nucleotides) under uncultured bacterium. RNAcentral's name for it is "partial 16S ribosomal RNA". It matches the Rfam family "Bacterial small subunit ribosomal RNA", at positions 29 to 506 of the family's 1533-position model. The record is from RNAcentral.
AGUGAACGCUGGCGGUAGGCCUAACACAUGCAAGUCGAACGGCAGCACAGUAAGAGCUUGCUCUUACGGGUGGCGAGUGGCGGACGGGUGAGGAAUACAUCGGAAUCUACUUUUUCGUGGGGGAUAACGUAGGGAAACUUACGCUAAUACCGCAUACGACCUACGGGUGAAAGCAGGGGAUCUUCGGACCUUGCGCGAUUGAAUGAGCCGAUGUCGGAUUAGCUAGUUGGCGGGGUAAAGGCCCACCAAGGCGACGAUCCGUAGCUGGUCUGAGAGGAUGGACAACCCCACUGGGAAAGGAGAAACGGCCCAGAACCCAAGGGGGGGCAGAGGGGGGAAAUAUGGGAAAAUGGGGGAAAGCCUGACCCAGCCAAACCGGGGGGGGGAAGAAGGCUUUCGGGUUGUAAAGCCCUUUUGUGGGGAAAAAAAAGCAGCAGGUUAAAACCCCGCUGUUUUGACGGUACCAAAAAAAAAAGCACCGGCUAACUUGGG